Molecule: long non-coding RNA, 1379 nt
Filed under: Heterocephalus glaber (naked mole-rat)
Lineage: Eukaryota; Metazoa; Chordata; Mammalia; Rodentia; Bathyergidae
Description: lncRNA (ENSHGLG00100034981.1)
Source: RNAcentral
GGUCUCUCCAGCUGGGCAGGGGAGGGAGCAGCGGGACUCGGGGGCCGUGAUGGCUUGAUCCCCCUCACCUCCUUCCAGGCCAGUGAGAGAGGGCGGAGGGGAGCUGCCCAGAGGCCCGCCCCAGCAGUGUGGGUGACCAGGGGCCCAGCACCGAUCCAGCAGCAGAGAUGGGCCCCAGGUGCCUCCGAGUCCUUCCUUCCCCGGCCCCAAGGUGCUGCUUUACACUCCCGAAGGCCUUGGCCAGGCCUGAGGUGGGGAUGGGGACACCAGGUCACCCGUCACCAACUCCCUGAGCACCCUCACCCUGGAGACCUCGGUUCCUUGUCUGAAAGGGAAGAAAGGGGGAGCAGGCUUGAACUGAGGCCUUUUGGGGUUAAAAUCAAUCUUAGGCAUGUUUUCUAGGAGGCCUCGGGUGUCUCUGUCUUUGGCCAACUUUUGGAAGCCGAAUCACUAUAGGGCAGAGGCGAGGCAGGCCUGCUUGCUGGGCAGGAGGCAGUGGGGGCUUCCCCUUAGGGGAGACGCAGGGUAACCAUGGACCCCUGAGAGGCAGAGCUGGUCUGGGAGGCCCCAAAGCCCCUGCUGCUCCUCCACCCUCCUUCUGCCUACUCCCCCGUGCCUGUCCCGAGGGCACACGGACAUCCCACCAUGUGCUUGGUCCUGGGCCCGGAGCCGAUGGCUGGGGUUCUGGGAAGUUGCACCCCUCUGAGCCUCCUCUGAUGAGGCCUUCCAGUCCAAGGGGAGAGAAGUUCCUGGAGACGGAGGAAGCGCCGGGCGAGCAGCACAGGUGCCCGAGAGGAGUCUGGCUCUGAGGCUUGAGUCCUUCCUGUCCCUCUGUGCAGUCUCGGCGGUGCCUGAGACCCCUGGGCUUCAACCCUGUGUGCUUCCCACUUCUGUUUCCGGAGUCCAGAGGUCCUCACUGUCCCGCCUGGCAUACACCCUGGAGCUGGCCAACUCCUCAUCUUCUGUCCUUCCAGGGGACAAAGACUGUCGGUGCUGGCAUCAGGAACCAGGACGGGCGAGGCCCGGUAUGCUGGGCAGGUGUGUUUCUCCCCUUCCUUAUCAGUGCUUUUCAACAACUUGGAAUGUUGGCCCAAGAUUUGCCUUUUCCCUGGAAUACUGGGGAGUGAACCCAGAGUUCACACUGAGCCACUUCUCCAGCCCUUUCUUGCGGGGUGGGGUUUGAGACAGUAUGAAGUUCGGGCUGGCCUUGAACUCAUGACGAUCCUCCUGCCUCAGCCCCCUGAGGGCUGGGACUACAGGGGUGAGUUACCACACCUGGUGGGCCCUUUUUAUUUUGAGACAAGGUCUCCCUAAGUUGCUAAAUCUGCCAGACCGGGCUCAAAAUUUUGAUCCCCCUGCCUUAGCCUCCUAAGUGCUGG